GACGAACGCUGGCGGCGUGCUUAACACAUGCAAGUCGAACGGAAAGGCCCUGCUUUUGUGGGGUGCUCGAGUGGCGAACGGGUGAGUAACACGUGAGUAACCUGCCCUUGACUUUGGGAUAACUUCAGGAAACUGGGGCUAAUACAGGAUAGGAGCUCCUGCUGCAUGGUGGGGGUUGGAAAGUUUCGGCGGUUGGGGAUGGACUCGCGGCUUAUCAGCUUGUUGGUGGGGUAGUGGCUUACCAAGGCUUUGACGGGUAGCCGGCCUGAGAGGGUGACCGGCCACAUUGGGACUGCGAUACGGCCCAGACUCCUACGGGGGGCAGCAGGGGGGAAUAUUGCACAAUGGGCGGAAGCCUGAUGCAGCAACGCCGCGUUCGGGAUGACGGCCUUCGGGUUGUAAACCGCUUUCGCCUGUGACGAAGCGUGAGUGACGGUAAUGGGUAAAGAAGCACCGGCUAACUACGUG
This 468-nucleotide ribosomal RNA is filed under the name uncultured bacterium. RNAcentral describes it as "partial 16S ribosomal RNA". It matches the Rfam family "Bacterial small subunit ribosomal RNA", at positions 28 to 507 of the family's 1533-position model. The record is from RNAcentral.